UACGGAGGAUCCAAGCGUUAUCCGGAAUCAUUGGGUUUAAAGGGUCCGUAGGCGGUUUAAUAAGUCAGUGGUGAAAGCCCAUCGCUCAACGGUGGAACGGCCAUUGAUACUGUUAAACUUGAAUUAUUAGGAAGUAACUAGAAUAUGUAGUGUAGCGGUGAAAUGCUUAGAGAUUACAUGGAAUACCAAUUGCGAAAGCAGGUUACUACUAAUGGAUUGACGCUGAUGGACGAAAGCGUGGGUAGCGAACAGG
Molecule: ribosomal RNA, 253 nt
Filed under: uncultured bacterium
Lineage: Bacteria
Description: partial 16S ribosomal RNA
Rfam family: Bacterial small subunit ribosomal RNA
Source: RNAcentral